AAGGGCAGAACACGGGAUUUGUGCCAAACAUCCUGGAUUGUAGACCUCGCCUGUCUGUUUCCCAGGGAGUCUGCUCUUAGAAUAGGCCUGACCAAGGUGUUCCAUGACACAUGGAACACAGGCAACCCCGCAGCCCCAGUGAGUGGUCCUCACACAUCCUGCCUCAGGGUCACACAGAGGGCUCAGGGCCCCAUCCCGGGGGGGCUCUGUGUCAGGAGCUCUGGGCUGGGGGCUUGAAAAGCGUCAGCCUAGAGCUGCACUUUGAGAACCGCUGUCCUGGGCUGCGUGGGAUUGGUGCGUGCAAAUGGACAGCAGUUGGUCCCCUUGCCCGGACUGGAGGUGCCAGCCUACUGGGCAGGGCUCCCAGCCUUAGAUCCAGCCAGAUCCAAAAUUCUAUUCUUCCUCUCCCGAUCCAAUACUUUAAGAUCCAUUCCCCAGGCUUCCUUCAACAUAACUGGCAUUUGAGGAAUACUUUUUUUUUUUUUUAAAGAUUUAUUUUGAAAGUCAGAGUUACACAGACUCAACGGCUGGAGCUGUGCCGAUCCGAAGCCAGGAGCCAGGAGCUUCCUCUGUGUCUCCCACAUGGGUGCUGGGGCCCAAGGACUUGGGCCAUUUCCCACUGCUUUCCCAGGCCAUAGCAGAGAGCUAGAUUGGAUGUGGAGCAUCUGGGACACAAACCGGUGCCCAUAUGGGAUGCCCGCACUGCAGGCGGCGGCUUUACCCACUAUGCCACAGCGCCGGACCCACUUUUUUUUUUUUUAAGAUUUAUUUAUUUGAAAGGCAGAACGAGAGAGAGAGAGAGAGAGAGAGAGAGAGAGAGAGAGAGAGAAAGAGAGAGAUUGAGAUAUCUUCCACCCAUUCGUUCGCUCCCCAAAUAGCUGCAACAGCCAGGUCUGGGCCAGGCCCAAGCCAAGAGCCAGGAACUCCAUCCUGGUCUCCCACAUACGGGUGGCCAAGCACUUGGGCCAUCUUCUGGUGCCUUCUCAGGCAGUGAGCAGUGAGCUCAGUUGGAAGCUAGGAGCUCAGACUUGCAUUGGCACUCUGAUGUGGGAUGCUAACAUUCUAAGUGGCGGCUUCGUACGCUGCACGGCAACACUGGCCCCUAUUGGAGGAAUCUCGAUAAAAAGUAAAGAGGAUGGGCCAGCCUGGUGAAACAGCCAGUCAAGCCGCUGCCUGUGAUGCCAGCAUCCUAUGUGAGCCCAGGUUCAAGUCCCGGCCGCUCCACUUCCCAUCCAGCUCCCAGCUCCCUGCUAAUGCACCUGGGAAGACAGUGGAAAAUGGCCCAAGGGCUUAGGCCCCUGCCGCCCCUGGGGGAGACCCAGAUGGAGUUCCAGGUUCCUGACUUUGACUGAGGACCGGUUGUUGAAGCCAUCUGAAGCAUGAACCAGAAGAUGGAAGAUCUCUCUUUCCCUCUCUCUCUCCCUCCUCUCUCUCUCUCUCUCUCUCCCUCUCCCUUUCUCUCUUUCUCUCUCUCUCCCUCUCUUUCUCUCUCCUCCCUCUGCUGCUCUUCCUUUCAAAUAAACAAAUCAAUCUUCAAAAAAAAAGUCA
This 1548-nucleotide long non-coding RNA is filed under the name Oryctolagus cuniculus (rabbit). RNAcentral describes it as "lncRNA (ENSOCUG00000037285.1)". Lineage: Eukaryota; Metazoa; Chordata; Mammalia; Lagomorpha; Leporidae. The record is from RNAcentral.